Molecule: long non-coding RNA, 3248 nt
Organism: Cephus cinctus (wheat stem sawfly)
Lineage: Eukaryota; Metazoa; Arthropoda; Insecta; Hymenoptera; Cephidae
Exons: 6
Source: RefSeq, a predicted model, not a curated record
AAAAAAAAAAAGUUAAACCGAGAAAGGGAAAUACCCUUGACGUGAUAAUUUUUAAUAACGGAUGUAAAAAAAAAAAUAAAAUUGUCAACACGACGUAUGCGAGACGAUUGAAAAAAAGAUUGUUCAAAAAAAAAAUAGUCAGUUCGCCGUAACUCUCCGUGACUUGUAAGGAUUUCCAGUACGUCGGCCGCGAUUACGAUGCAUGAGAAUUACUAAUGCAGAAUUCCGAAGUGGCAAAGCCCGACGUACACGGGGCGAAAUCGUAAACGCGUCGAAAAGAUCGUAAUUUACGGUACUCGGAAAAUAAAUCGACAAAAAAAGUUUUUUAUUCCCACGUUGUAAUUUGGAUAGAUCCAAGAAAUCGACCUCGGAUAAUUUAAAAUUUCUUAUUUUCUUCACUUCCUCCACGUACAAUUUGCCGAUCCACUCACCGAAGACGCGUAAUCGUCAAAGAGUUAUCGUCGUGCGACAGAAGCCGGCGGGAACUUUGAAUCGAGAGACUCAAAGCAUAAAAAUUAAAAAAAGAAACAGUAUAGUCCAAAAAUGACGUCACUUAUGCGAUAAAGAAUCAAAAGAAAAAAGGACAAAGUGAAAAAAUUCCAUUCUCGCAGAAUUCGAUAAACUGUUACGCAACAGCACAAACUGUACAUUAUUAUUAUAUCAGACAUGAAAGAUGGCUUCGAUCGUUAAAAAAUAAUCUUUCGACCGUUUCCAGAAUUAACUACUAGCCGAAAGAGAAACCCGAGAAAUCUAAAAGGAGAGAGUCAUCGUUUCCAGUAGGUUUCGAAAAAGAAUUAUAUCCAUUGUAGAUGCCCAGCUGACAGGUUAAACAUUAGGUUUCACGAGAAAAAAGCCGUAUUUUUAGAAUUAACAUGCGAGAGCAGUGGAUACAAUCAAGAGAGCCAACUAAGAAGACGGGAGAUAGGAGACGAAGAGAAAAACAUUAGGGGGGAGGGGGAAGUUUCAAGUGCGUUGCGUCACGUAUUUUUGAAUUCUACCAGUCCAACUUACAAGCGACGCCCGACGGCUGUUUGCGUAGACAAAGCCCAAGUUGGGUCGGCGCGGCUGCCAACAACGUUCUAGGUAAAAUUAUGCGUGUCCUUCGGUUCCCGUCAGUCACCGUGUUUGCCAAGCGGAGCGCAAUGUCGAGAAAAAGGUUUACGUCUAGUUUCCACGGUCAUCGGACCAUUCUCGAUAAGAGCACCGAUAAGGAACAACGACGACGACAACAGGCAUCGUCGUACGUACGUCGAGGAUUUAAGAAAAUCCAAUUGGAUGGAGUCGUAUUGUGGCAGCGAUGGAACCGGGGAAUUGGAGAUGGAUCUAGCUACCGAAGGGGGAAGCCAGACGUAUUUCCUGCCGAAGGCGCUAUGUCGUUCCCGUGGCCGGUGAGGGUUGCAAGUGAAAUAGACGGAAGUAGAUAACAAUGCUUUGAGAUCAUGCUCAAUAACAGCUAUGAAAUAGGAGCAAUCAUCGAAGGCUGUGGUAGAUUAAUUAUCGCGACAAGAUACCUCGGGACGUGAUGCGUACAGUUGCAGCUUUCUAACGUCGCCGAAGACCACGAGGAGGACUGUUAUAUGGAAUAGCUGUUAUAUGGAAGGACAGAGAAAAGAUUGGAGCAAGCUUUAUGAACGCGAUCCAGGAGCCACGUGGACGAUGUGAAAUACGAGUAAGGUCGUUCUUAAUGGCAAAAAAAAAAAUUGAUUUCAAUUCAGAUUUUCUCUUGAUUAGAAGAGAGCAGCGCCUGUCCGCAAGAAACUACACAACUACACACUUUCGAACGGCCACCUGAUGGGCGGGGCUUGCGGGAUGACGUUGGCCAAUCACCGUCUCUCUCUGGGAAGUGGUGGCUGCGCGAAACUGGAGUCCUCGCGCGGCCGAGAACAACGACAGACUGUCGGUUUUCUACCGACAAUUCUUCCGUUCGAUGUACGACUAGCGCGCUCUUACGGUCAAAGUCAUAACUAAUUGAACCCUCUAUAAACCAACGUAUAAAUCUGCCUGCCUUUCUGUCCGUCACAAUACGACGAACAAUGUUCAACUGUUUACAGGAUAAAUACAGUCAUAUUACUGUCAUAAACCAAUCUACGAUGACAGUCUUUCGAAUACUUUAUUUUGAUGCACUGCACACGUCAUCCGAAUUGAACUGAAAGAUCGUGUGAGGCAAACCCAUUACGUCUUCAUAUGUCGCGUAACACGCUUAUGUUGUCUAUGUCGUUUGUCUUGUACAACUGUAUCUCUUGUGGAUUAUUCAGCUAGUGGAAGCCCUGCUGCGGGUCAAAUCAGUACAUCUCGUAAUAUAAACGUGACAGAGAAUGGCGCUUCGUGCAACGUGAGAUGCGGCUCCGAAUUUUUUACUGCAGAUUCUCAUUGCGUGACCUUCGCACUUUGCAAACUGGUUCUCCUCGAGAAUGAUGUCCAUACGCGAACAAGCUUAACUUCCAAAUGACUGGCACAUCUCCUUGGAGGAAGCAGACAUAAGGAAAGGAAGGAACUUCCGAAUAAGGUCCGCAAGAUGUCUUUUCCGGAUUUACGAAUAUCAGCUGCACGUCAGUAGUGACGAUUCACGAUGUCCAUACGAUGUAUUUUUAACGUCCCAUAGUCCUACGGGACGUUGCACGAUUAAUCGACGGACUUUGACUUAAGAGUCAUAAUAAAUCUUAUUUCGUGAAAGUACAUUUUGAAAACAAUUAAAACGAUAUUAUCUCUAACGGUAUUAAUACUUCUGUGCACCAUUGUAUUCCUGGCACAUAAAUAAUUGGUUAUAAAAAAAAGAUCGUAAUGAUAAAAAUAAUAAAUAGGGAUUUUGUUCGUGGAUUAAUUUGUUCACAUAGUAAAUCAGCCUUGAUUAUAGUCAUUGUGCUUUAGAAAUGUAUUUUCGUUCGAUAAUACACAAUAAAACUUAUCGGUAAUGAACGGCAACUAUACUGUAAUCGUUUAUCCUUUUUUUUUACCGUAUACGUACAGUAAUUAUAACAGGAAUGGCAAUAAUAACGAUAACGAGAAAAGUAAUGCCGACGAUUAACCAUGAUCAUAAUGGACAAUUUAUCGUUAUACGUAUACGCAAUGUCAAUGCAGCUCGACACGUAAUUUUGGGCCUCGUCUCUCGCUUGCCGUACUUUAGUUUAUACUUAAUAAAAUUCGUAAUGAUGAAGAUUAGUACAUAAUUUCACUUAAUUUACUUACGCAAUGUAGUAUUUUGUACAUUUCAACAAAUCGAAUAUUCUUAACGAACGCAAUGCUCUCUC